GCAAUGCGAUGACAGGCGAAGUUUCUGUUCUUGUUAUCGGAAGAAAAGUCCGACCUAUGCACAGAAAGAUUCAGACUCGCCCUCGUCUCUUUCCUCCCUCCUCAGGUCAACAUAAUGGCACUUCUGGUUCAACAAGGAUGUGCGGCUGCGUUAGAGGAAGAAGACAAGUUUCCUAAAGACACGAAUGAGGAGGUGAAUAAAGAGAUUUUGACAAUGGCUCAUUCCGCGAUCUUGUUGUCAGUUACUGAUGAGGUGUUACGGGAGGUUGUAGAUCAGACAACGAGUUUUGAGCUAUGGAUAAACUGUGUGAGAAGUACCAAAACAACUCUCUCACGAACAGACUAUAUCAGAAGAAACCUCUUUACACCCUCCGGAUGUCCGAAAGUACUCAGGUAAAGGAUUAUUUUGAUAUCUUUAACCGUAUUAUUUUUUAUCUUCAAGGGGUUGAUAUUAAAGUAGAUGAUAAAGAUCAAACCCUAAUUUUACCGUGUUCACUGUCUGGUUCAUGUGAGAAUUUUGUAGAUACUAUGUUAUAUGGUAGAACUACAAUUUCUGUUAAUGAUGUGGAAAAUGUCUUUAUGUCUAAAGAAUUGAAAAGAAAGAUUUCUCUGGAAGAGGGAUUAGUUCAGGUCUUAGAGGAAGACCACAUGAGAGGGGUAAUGAGAAUGAGAGGUCGCAUUCAAAAUCAAAAUCUUCUAGCAAAGUUAAGUGUUAUCUUUGCAAGUAGAAGGGACAAAUUAAAAAGGAUUGUGUACAGAAUAAGGGAAAUAUAUAAGUUGAUUCUAGUAACAGUGGCAGCAGUGCUGUUGUGGUACAAGACAGUUCUGAUGAUGGGACUUUGGUGAAGUUCUGACAGCGUGUAGUGCUAGUACUGCUGAUUCCUGGAUUAUGGAUACCGGUGCUUCUCACCAUAUGCCGUUCUCUCGUGAUCAACUCAUUUUUUUAAGGAGUGGAAUGGAACGGUGAUGUUAGGUGAUGAUGGGGUUCUAGCCAUAAAGGGGAGCGGGAUA
Molecule: RNA transcript, 1010 nt
Organism: Andrographis paniculata
Lineage: Eukaryota; Viridiplantae; Streptophyta; Magnoliopsida; Lamiales; Acanthaceae
Exons: 2
Source: RefSeq, a predicted model, not a curated record